Pseudophryne corroboree (corroboree frog) is the source of this 344-nucleotide long non-coding RNA. RefSeq lists it as uncharacterized. NCBI's taxonomy places the organism in Eukaryota, Metazoa, Chordata, Amphibia, Anura, Myobatrachidae. The record is from RefSeq and is a predicted model, not a curated record. The transcript has 2 exons.
CCCUGAACACGACAGUCCCGGACUCAUGAUAUACUGCAUACACAUAAGAUAGAUCUUUAAGAUCUUGCUAAAGAUCUGAGGAAUGGCCACAUCCAGGAGUAUGCUGUCGUUGACAAUAACUUCAGAUGUUACGUGCUGCAGGUCUCAGGCUGCUUACCAUAUGUACAAGAAAGUUGGCUUCCAUCGUCCCCAUUUAUAAAAGAACCGGUUGAAAAUUGUGGUUUGCCAGCGGAUGUGAAAUGGCGAGAUGCUCAGUCCUUGUGUGGAAAGCCAUUGUUCAUAAGUGUUCUUGUACGAUUUUGAUGACUAAGAAAGAGAAAUAAAAGCAUAAUAUCUACUGUCAA